AUGUGCGGCAAUAACAUGUCUGCCCCACUGGCCGCCAUCGUGCCCACUGCCCGAAAGUCCACUGCUGCGGUGAUUUUCCUUCAUGGAUUGGGUGAUACCUGGCACAGAUGGACAGAAGCCUUUGCAGGUAUCAGACUUUCCCAUAUCAAAUAUAUCUCCCCCCAUGCACCUGUUAUGCCUGUUACAUUAAAUAUGAACAUGGCUCUGCCUUCUUAGUUUGAUAUUGUUGGACUUUCACCAGAGUCACAGGAGGAUGAAGCUAGAAUUAAACUGGCAGCAGAAAACAUAAAAGCUUUGAUUGAUCAAGAGGUGAAGAAUAGCAUUCCUUCUAACAGAAUUAUUUUGGGAGGAUUUUCUCAGGGAAGAGCUUUAUCUUUAUAUACCGCUAUCACCACAUACCAGACACUGGCGGGUGUCACUGCACUCAAUUUCUGGCUUCUUCUUCAAGCUUCAUUUCCAAAGGGUCCUAUCAGUGGCACUAAUAAAGAUAUUUCUAUACUUCAAUGCCAUGGAGAUUGAGGCCCUUUAGUUCCCCUGAUGUUUGGUUCUCUUACUGUUGAAAAACUAAAAACAUUGGUUGAUCCAGUCAAUGUUAAAACUUAUGAAGGCAUGAUGCACAGUUCAUGUCAACAGGAAAUGAUAGAUAUCAAGCAAUUCAUUGAUAAACUCCAGCCUCUAUUUGAUUGACAUCAUGAAGAGGCCUUGUGUAGAAGAACACCAGCAUCAUUAUAGUAGAGUAUAAACCUUCUCCCGUGCCUGGUCUUCAAACUUCUAAUGUCUGCGGUGUUAAAAUGUUUUGCAAAUCAUGCCAAUGACAUAGACUGGAUAAUGUCUCCUCAUGGUAAAUUUAUGAUCUUUUAGGUUUCUAUACUUGUAUUCUUAUAAUAAGAUCCAGAGCAUACUAGUAUUAAAAUAGGUGAAGCUGCUAGCUUCUUUUUAGUGUAAUUCAGCAAAAUAAUAAAAUACUACAACCACAUUUUUUUCUUAAAUCAUUUGAAAAUUACUAGUAUGCUUAAUGAAAAUUUGUUCUGGUAUAAAUGAGAAGUUAAGAUAUAAAUGAUUUAUGCACGCUGUGACUUAGUUCAUGGAUUUAUUCCAAAAUUGCUUAGUCACUAUGCAGUGUCUGUAUUUUUAUAUAUGUAUUGAUAUGUGCAUAAUGAUUGCAAUAUGUAAUAAAAAUGAGGUGAUAUUACAUUAUUCCUAUUAGGAAUAAUUAUGUUUAGUGUCAAUUAAAAGUAAUAUUGCUCUCUUCAAUUAAUUGCCCUUUGAUAUUGGGACCAGGCUUUUCUUUUCCCUGAUAUCACUUCUACUUAAUAUUCUUAUCUCUCAAGAAACAUUUUUAAAAAGUAUUUCUUUCUUUAUUGUCCUUCAUAGCAGACCAAAUAUUGCCUC
Carlito syrichta (Philippine tarsier) is the source of this 1392-nucleotide RNA transcript. It is a transcript of the gene named acyl-protein thioesterase 1 pseudogene, with no coding region annotated. The record is from RefSeq and is a predicted model, not a curated record. The transcript has a single exon. NCBI's taxonomy places the organism in Eukaryota, Metazoa, Chordata, Mammalia, Primates, Tarsiidae.